UACGGAGGGGGCAAGCGUUAUUCGGAAUCAUUGGGCGUAAAGGGCGCGUAGGCGGCUUGGCAAGUCAAAGGUGAAAGCCCUCGGCCUAACCGAGGAACUGCCUUUGAUACUGCUUGGCUUGAGGCCGGGAGAGGGUAGCGGAAUUCCAAGUGUAGUGGUGAAAUGCGUAGAUAUUGGGAGGAACACCAGUGGCGAAGGCGGCUAGCUGGACCGGUUCUGACGCUGAGGCGCGAAAGCGUGGGGAGCAAACAGG
RNAcentral lists this ribosomal RNA (253 nucleotides) under uncultured bacterium. RNAcentral describes it as "partial 16S ribosomal RNA". It matches the Rfam family "Bacterial small subunit ribosomal RNA", at positions 524 to 776 of the family's 1533-position model. The record is from RNAcentral.